CAACCCUCAAGCCUUGCUUGGUGUUGGGCCCUGCCCGCUGCGGCCGGCCCCAAAGUCAGUGGCGGCACCGUAUGGUCCUAAGCGUAGUAAUGCUCUCGCUCUAGGGUCCUGCGGCUGCACGCCAGAACCCCAACUUCUAU
Molecule: unclassified non-coding RNA, 140 nt
Filed under: uncultured Myxotrichum
Lineage: Eukaryota; Fungi; Ascomycota; Leotiomycetes; Myxotrichaceae
Description: sequence contains ITS2
Source: RNAcentral